RNAcentral lists this ribosomal RNA (2069 nucleotides) under human gut metagenome. RNAcentral's name for it is "bacterial LSU rRNA". It matches the Rfam family "Bacterial large subunit ribosomal RNA", at positions 881 to 2925 of the family's 2925-position model. The record is from RNAcentral.
CUCGUGAACUCAUCUUCGGGGGUAGAGCACUGUUUCGGCUAGGGGGCCAUCCCGGCUUACCAACCCGAUGCAAACUACGAAUACCGAAGAAUGUUAUCACGGGAGACACACGGCGGGUGCUAACGUCCGUCGUGAAGAGGGAAACAACCCAGACCGCCAGCUAAGGUCCCAAAGUCAUGGUUAAGUGGGAAACGAUGUGGGAAGGCACAGACAGCCAGGAUGUUGGCUUAGAAGCAGCCAUCAUUUAAAGAAAGCGUAAUAGCUCACUGGUCGAGUCGGCCUGCGCGGAAGAUGUAACGGGGCUAAACCAUGCACCGAAGCUGCGGCAGCGACACUAUGUGUUGUUGGGUAGGGGAGCGUUCUGUAAGCCGUUGAAGGUGUGCUGUGAGGCAUGCUGGAGGUAUCAGAAGUGCGAAUGCUGACAUAAGUAACGAUAAAGCGGGUGAAAAGCCCGCUCGCCGGAAGACCAAGGGUUCCUGUCCAACGUUAAUCGGGGCAGGGUGAGUCGACCCCUAAGGCGAGGCCGAAAGGCGUAGUCGAUGGGAAACAGGUUAAUAUUCCUGUACUUGGUGUUACUGCGAAGGGGGGACGGAGAAGGCUAUGUCAGCCGGGCGACGGUUGUCCCGGUUUAAGCAUGUAGGCGGAGGUUCCAGGUAAAUCCGGUACCUUUUAACGCUGAGGUGUGAUGACGAGGCACUACGGUGCUGAAGUGAUAAAUGCCCUGCUUCCAGGAAAAGCCUCUAAGCAUCAGGUAACACGAAAUCGUACCCCAAACCGACACAGGUGGUCAGGUAGAGAAUACCAAGGCGCUUGAGAGAACUCGGGUGAAGGAACUAGGCAAAAUGGUGCCGUAACUUCGGGAGAAGGCACGCUGAUGUGUAGGUGAAGCCCCUGCGGGCGGAGCUGAAAUCAGUCGAAGAUACCAGCUGGCUGCAACUGUUUAUUAAAAACACAGCACUGUGCAAACACGAAAGUGGACGUAUACGGUGUGACGCCUGCCCGGUGCCGGAAGGUUAAUUGAUGGGGUUAGCUGUAAGGCGAAGCUCUUGAUCGAAGCCCCGGUAAACGGCGGCCGUAACUAUAACGGUCCUAAGGUAGCGAAAUUCCUUGUCGGGUAAGUUCCGACCUGCACGAAUGGCGUAAUGAUGGCCAGGCUGUCUCCACCCGAGACUCAGUGAAAUUGAACUCGCUGUGAAGAUGCAGUGUACCCGCGGCAAGACGGAAAGACCCCGUGAACCUUUACUAUAGCUUGACACUGAACACUGGUCCUUGAUGUGUAGGAUAGGUGGGAGGCUUUGAAGCGUGGACGCCAGUCUGCGUGGAGCCAACCUUGAAAUACCACCCUUUAAUGGCUGGUGUUCUAACGUAGACCCGUAAUCCGGGUUGCGGACAGUGUCUGGUGGGUAGUUUGACUGGGGCGGUCUCCUCCCAAAGAGUAACGGAGGAGCACGAAGGUUGGCUAAUCCUGGUCGGACAUCAGGAGGUUAGUGCAAUGGCAUAAGCCAGCUUGACUGCGAGCGUGACGGCGCGAGCAGGUGCGAAAGCAGGUCAUAGUGAUCCGGUGGUUCUGAAUGGAAGGGCCAUCGCUCAACGGAUAAAAGGUACUCCGGGGAUAACAGGCUGAUACCGCCCAAGAGUUCAUAUCGACGGCGGUGUUUGGCACCUCGAUGUCGGCUCAUCACAUCCUGGGGCUGAAGUAGGUCCCAAGGGUAUGGCUGUUCGCCAUUUAAAGUGGUACGCGAGCUGGGUUUAGAACGUCGUGAGACAGUUCGGUCCCUAUCUGCCGUGGGCGCUGGAGAAUUGAGGGGGGCUGCUCCUAGUACGAGAGGACCGGAGUGGACGCAUCACUGGUGUUCGGGUUGUCAUGCCAAUGGCACUGCCCGGUAGCUAAAUGCGGAAGAGAUAAGUGCUGAAAGCAUCUAAGCACGAAACUUGCCCCGAGAUGAGUUCUCCCUGAGACUUUAAGUCUCCUGAAGGAACGUUAAAGACGAUGACGUUGAUAGGUCGGGUGUGUAAGCGCAGCGAUGCGUUGAGCUAACCGAUACUAAUGAACCGUGAGGCUUAACCUU